This 74-nucleotide transfer RNA is filed under the name Planctomycetota bacterium. Its description in RNAcentral is "tRNA-Met". It matches the Rfam family "tRNA". Rfam says of the family: Transfer RNA (tRNA) molecules are approximately 80 nucleotides in length. Their secondary structure includes four short double-helical elements and three loops (D, anti-codon, and T loops). Lineage: Bacteria; Pseudomonadati; Planctomycetota. RNAcentral also lists the same sequence under 3 other names. The record is from RNAcentral.
GGCAGCGUAGCUCAGUUGGUUAGAGCGAGGGACUCAUAAGCCCUAGGUCACUGGUUCGACUCCAGUCGCUGCUA